Molecule: long non-coding RNA, 510 nt
Organism: Camelus dromedarius (Arabian camel)
Lineage: Eukaryota; Metazoa; Chordata; Mammalia; Artiodactyla; Camelidae
Exons: 3
Source: RefSeq, a predicted model, not a curated record
AAAAGAAUUAAAACCAGGGAUUUCAGAAGCCAGAAGCCCGAUCGACCUAAAAUCCUGGUGUUGUCACUGUGGAGCUAGCUCUGUGACCCCAGGAGUUAGUCCUUGACCACUAGUUCGAUACUCUCUUAUUCUGGGUGACCUGUUUCACCAGCAGGCCUGUUACUCUCCAUGACUAACUGUGUGCUUAUAAUGGAAUAAACUGCUUUUCUACAUAAAAAAAAAAAAAAGAGAGAUUGAAAUAAAAAACCCAGUGGAAGAAUUAACAGCAGAUCCUGCAGCUGAAGCAAGAACUGGGAAGUGGAACCCUACUUCAGGAUGACACCUGCACCCCAAUGUUCAUAGCAGCACUAUUUACGAUAGCCAAGACAUGGAGACAGCCUAAAUGUCCAUCAAUGGAUGACUGGAUAAAGAAGAAGUGGUAUAUUUAUACUGUGGAAUACUACUCAGCCAUAAAAACCGACAGCAUAACGCCAUUUGCAGCAACAUGGAUGUUCCUGGAGAAUGUCAUUC